RNAcentral lists this ribosomal RNA (244 nucleotides) under uncultured Gardnerella sp. Its description in RNAcentral is "partial 16S ribosomal RNA". It matches the Rfam family "Bacterial small subunit ribosomal RNA", at positions 111 to 356 of the family's 1533-position model. Lineage: Bacteria; Bacillati; Actinomycetota; Actinomycetes; Bifidobacteriales; Bifidobacteriaceae. The record is from RNAcentral.
UAAUGCGUGACCAACCUGCCCCAUGCUCCAGAAUAGCUCUUGGAAACGGGUGGUAAUGCUGGAUGCUCCAACUUGACGCAUGUCUUGUUGGGAAAGNGUUUAGUGGCAUGGGAUGGGGUCGCGUCCUAUCAGCUUGUAGGCGGGGUAAUGGCCCACCUAGGCUUCGACGGGUAGCCGGCCUGAGAGGGCGGACGGCCACAUUGGGACUGAGAUACGGCCCAGACUCCUACGGGAGGCAGCAGCG